This is a non-coding RNA of Pelobates cultripes (western spadefoot toad), 125 nucleotides long. Lineage: Eukaryota; Metazoa; Chordata; Amphibia; Anura; Pelobatidae. The record is from the annotation of a GenBank genome assembly.
AUAACAAUACAGGACUCUUUCGAGGCCCUGUAAUUGUAAUGAGUCCACUUUAAAUCCUUUAACUAGGAUCAAUUGGAGGGCAAGUCUGGUGCAGAGCGACUGACCCGUGCGUGCUGCAGCUGAAA